UCUAUUAAAUUUCGAGGUUAUAAACUAAAUGAGGUUAUAUUUCAUUGUACUUCAAAUAUCGUCGGAAAUCGCCGUUGGCGCCACUAGAUCAGAUGUGGUGAAGCAGUUCAUGUCAAUAUCAACAUGACAUUUUUAUUUUUAUAAUACUGUGCAAAUAUCUUACAAUAUCUGAAAAAUGUUAUAAUUUAUAACAUAUUCUGACGUGCCUUCUACCAUUAGAGUCAUGUGUCUCAACGUAGAAAUAAUACUUCCAACAGUGAAGAAAUUUUUACUACUUUAUCCCUUAAAAACUGGAUGCAUACUUACCUACUUUUGGACAAUGGUUCGCUCUUUUUUCUGCGUGCUUUUCUUCCUGGUUGCAUUACUAGAAUUGGUCGUGGGGAAACCAUUUCCAAUUAAGCCUAUAUUUGUUGACAUAGAAAUUACUGCCUAUUACACAAUGUACUUUUCUUUCGUUAUUUUGUUGCUUACCGAAUUCUUAUUGAUGGUUUUUACUAUACAUUUGGGCAUAGGAUCUUUUACCGGUGACUUGUGUUGUUUAAAGCAAUAUUUAAUAUGCCGUAUUAUAACUUGGGGAUUCGAAGUUGCAUUCUUACCUGUUGUAUGCUUCUCGAAUAAACCUCUCAUUGGCUGGUAUUUAGGAAUGAUGUUUUUCGUUGUCUUAGAGUUGUACUCAUUUAUUAUAGUCUAUAGUUAUUAUUAUACUUUAGCUGAAGAAAAGGAAUUCGAGGAGGGCUCCGACAAAACACGUGAUUGAGGGUCGUAACAGUCAAUUGAUAAAAAUAUCCUACGAAAAAUAUGUUCGAGGCUUAUCAUAUCCUGAUAACGAUACCUUGAUAAUGCACACAAAUAGGUUAUGUGAACUAUGCUCGACGAGUCAUAGACGUCCGCUAAUAUUGUAAAAUGGGGUUUAUGUUGCCGACUUUUAAGAAAUGUUUGUGUUGUGUGUCGCUGAGGACGGGGUCGUUUUUGAUUGGUUAUGUUUCAGCUAUAUUUUCCACAUUGGCUUUAUCCCUAAUUUCUUUAUCACUAUACAAAGUUGUAUAUUACGUUGAUCAUACGAUAAAUGAUACAAUUACCGAGACGAAGGUAGAGAAUCCAGAAGAUGUCCAUGAAGUGGCUACCAGUUUAUAUAUUGCCCAUGCUUAUCUUAUAAUUGUGUUUUUAUACAAUUUAUUAAUAAGUGUAUUACUUAUCGCUGGUCUGCAUAAGGCAAAUACAAAAUAUAUGAGAGACUACUUCAAAGCUGGGCUAUUUCUUCUUCUAUUGGCGCUCGCAACCGUUGUCUUGUCCACGGUGUUCUUGCACUUUAUUGUCACAGUUGCAUUAUUAAAAUGGAGUGUUAUAGUUCUCUACUGCCUCAUAAUGGUCCGGAGUCAUUAUCUAGAACUUGAAGAAGCAAAUAAACCACCAGUGAUCGAAAUGGAAAGUCUCUACAAUCCACCGAGAGCUUCUCAUUUGUAUGCGUGAAGAACUUUAGCACAUAAUAACGAAUUAACAACAUUAGUUCGAUUUACGAUAAUAGUAUUUGGUCACAUAUGAAGUAAUGCCUUGUCGGCAUGCAACCACGAAAUCGAAUUUUAUUAGUUGUAGUAUUUGUACUAAGAGAUAAAUUCAAUAUUUUUGCAGUUCCACAUAGGAACGAACGUAUUAAUUGAAGUACACAUGCAUCUAAUAAAAUUAUGGAAAACCUUUUAAUACCAAGUGAAUUUUUACUAUUCAUUUUACAUUUUUGUAUUGGGUAGCCAUGACUAGAUGAGAUAUUAUUGUAACUUUUACAUCCUUCUUUAGAAAGUCUUGUGUGUUUUACAUAUUUUGUAAUUUUGUUCAACA
RNA transcript from Pieris brassicae (large cabbage white), 1833 nucleotides. RefSeq lists it as uncharacterized. The record is from RefSeq and is a predicted model, not a curated record. NCBI's taxonomy places the organism in Eukaryota, Metazoa, Arthropoda, Insecta, Lepidoptera, Pieridae. The transcript is spliced from 9 exons.